Molecule: transfer RNA, 78 nt
Filed under: Palaeococcus helgesonii
Lineage: Archaea; Methanobacteriati; Methanobacteriota; Thermococci; Thermococcales; Thermococcaceae
Also listed under: 2 other names
Description: tRNA-Glu
Rfam family: tRNA
About the family: Transfer RNA (tRNA) molecules are approximately 80 nucleotides in length.
Source: RNAcentral
GCCCCGGUGGUGUAGUCCGGCCAAUCAUUCGGGACUCUCGAUCCCGUGACCCGGGUUCAAAUCCCGGCCGGGGCACCA